CUGCUUUAUAUACCUUCAAUAGAAAAUGUGGAUCCUUCCGGUCUAUUCCUCAUCCGAGUCAUCCGUGUAGUAUGGACAAAAUACGUAAUUUGUGCCAUUUGUAAUCUGAUAAUAUCGAUAAAUCUGUGUUCCAGAUAAUUCCGGAAUCGUUUUGAGCGACUUGCAUCCAAUGAUAUUCAGUUUUUCCAAAAACUCCAACCUAUCGAGGCCCUGAAUUUCAACCAAGUUUUUGCAGUCUCUAGCUUCUAAUCUCUUCAGACUCCUGGACUUUGGAAGGAGUAGCCUUUCGAUUGAAGUGCACCAAGAGAUUUCUAGUAUUUCCAAGGACUCCAACCUAUCGAGGCCAUGAAUUUCAGCUAAUUUCUUGCACCAACCAACAUUUACUCUCUUCAUACUUCCGGAUUUUGGAAGGUCUAGCUUUCCAAUCGAAGUGCACCUAGAGAUAUCUAGACUUUCCAAAUACUGCAAAUUAUCGAGCCCUUGAAUUUCGGCUAAGUUUUUGCAAUGCUGAGCCUCUAAUUUCUUCAGCAUCCCGAAUUUUGGAAGGUCUAGCUUUCCAAUCGAAGUGCACCUAGAGAUAUCUAGACUUUCCAAAUACUGCAAAUUAUCGAGCCCUUGAAUUUCAGCUAAGUUUUUGCAACGCCGAGCCUCUAAUUUCUUCAGCAUCCCGAAUUUUGGAAGGUCGAGCCUUCCAAUUGAAACACAAUCAUUGAUAUCUAGCCUUUCCAAAAACUGCGAUCUAUCAAGGCCUUCAAUUUCCGCUAAGUUUUCACAACCUAUAGCUUUUAAUUCCUUCAGCCUCCCGGACUUUGGAAGGUCGAGCCUUCCAAUUGAAACACAAUCAUUGAUAUCUAGCCUUUCCAAAAACUGCGAUCUAUCAAGGCCUUCAAUUUCCGCUAAGUUUUCACAACCUAUAGCUUUUAAUUCCUUCAGCCUCCCGGACUUUGGAAGGUCGAGCCUUCCAAUUGAAACACAAUCAUUGAUAUCUAGCCUUUCCAAAAACUCCGAUCUAUCAAGGCCUUCAAUUUCCGCUAAGUUUUCACAACCUAUAGCUUCUAAUUCCUUCAGCCUCCCGGACUUUGGAAGAUCUAGCCUUCCAAUUGAAGCACAAUGUUUGAUAUCUAGCCUUUCCAAAAACUCCGAUCUAUCAAGGCCUUGAAUUUCGGCUAAUGUGUUGC
Molecule: long non-coding RNA, 1178 nt
Filed under: Eucalyptus grandis
Lineage: Eukaryota; Viridiplantae; Streptophyta; Magnoliopsida; Myrtales; Myrtaceae
Description: long non-coding RNA (EGRA_LNC001155)
Source: RNAcentral